AUGGCGCUCCUCCUCUUGGUGAUGGUCGGUGUUGUGGUCGGCGUGGUGGUGGCGAGCAGCCUGCUGCUGCGGUGGAACGAGGUCAGGUACGGCAACGGCCGGAGGAAGGAGGGCGGGUGCCUGCCGCCGGGGACAAUGGGGUGGCCGCUCUUCGGCGAGACCACCGAGUUCCUCAAGCAGGGCCCGAGCUUCAUGAAGCAGAGGAGGCUCAGGUAUGGGCGGCUGUUCCGCACGCACAUCCUGGGAUGCCCCACGGUGGUGUGCAUGGACCCGGAGCUCAACCGCCGGAUGCUGCUACAGGGCGAGGCCGGCGGCCUCGUCCCCGGCUAUCCGCAGUCCAUGCUCGACAUCCUCGGCCGCAACAACAUCGCCGCCGUGCACGGCCCGCUCCACCGCCUCAUGCGUGGCGCCAUGCUCGGCCUCGUCCGCCCUGCUAUGCUCCGGCAAAGCCUCCUCCCCAAGAUCGACGCCUUCAUGCGCGACCACCUUCAGGGAUGGGCAGGCGCCGUCGUCGACGUCCAGGCCAAGACCAAGGAGAUGGCCUUGCUGUCCGCACUCCGGCAGAUCGCCGGCAUCACGGCCGGCCCGCUCUCAGACGCCCUCAAAACAGAGCUAUGCACCCUUGUGCUCGGCACCAUUUCCUUGCCCAUCAACCUUCCGGGAACCAGCUACUACCAAGGCUUCCAGGCAAGGACCAAGCUUGUGUCCAUGCUAGAGCAGAUGAUCGCGGAGCGGCGGUCCUCUGAUGAUGUGCAUGAUGACAUGUUGGAUGCUCUCUUGAGAAGCGGCGGCGAUGGGGCCAGGGAAAAGCUCAGUGAUGAGCAGAUCAUCGACUUGCUCAUCGCGCUCAUCUACUCUGGAUACGAGACGAUGUCGACCACUUCGAUGAUGGCCGUCAAGUACCUGUCGGACCACCCGCGAGCUCUUGAUGAACUCAGGAGAGAGCAUCUCGAUAUCAGGAAGGGGAAAUCGCCGGAGGAAGCCAUCAGCUAUGAAGAAUUUAAGUCAAUGGCCUUCACUCGAGCUGUCAUCUUUGAGACGCUCAGAUUAGCUACAGUCGUCAAUGGGCUACUAAGGAAAACUACCCGGGAUGUAGAAAUGAAUGGGUAUGUUAUUCCAAAAGGAUGGAGAAUCUAUGUUUACACGAGGGAGAUAAACUACGAUCCAUCCAUGUAUCCUGACCCAAUGACUUUCAAUCCGUGGAGGUGGCUGGAGAAGAACAUGGAAUCGCACCCACACUUCAUGUUGUUCGGAGGAGGCGGCCGGAUGUGCCCCGGGAAGGAGGUGGGCACGGCAGAGAUCGCGACUUUCCUCCACUACUUUGUGACCCGAUACAGAUGGGAGGAAGAAGGCAAGAACACCAUCUUGAAAUUCCCCCGUGUGGAAGCUCCCAACGGGCUACAUAUCCGGGUUCAAGAUUACUGA
Molecule: ribosomal RNA, 1425 nt
Filed under: Triticum aestivum (bread wheat)
Lineage: Eukaryota; Viridiplantae; Streptophyta; Magnoliopsida; Poales; Poaceae
Description: partial small subunit ribosomal RNA
Source: RNAcentral